This 253-nucleotide ribosomal RNA is filed under the name uncultured bacterium. RNAcentral describes it as "partial 16S ribosomal RNA". It matches the Rfam family "Bacterial small subunit ribosomal RNA", at positions 524 to 776 of the family's 1533-position model. The record is from RNAcentral.
UACGAGGGGGGCGAGCGUUGUUCGGAAUUAUUGGGCGUAAAGGGUGCGUAGGCGGUUCCGCAAGUCCUGUGUGAAAUCUUCGGGCUCAACUCGAAGUCUGCACGGGAAACUGCGGGGCUUGAGUGUGGGAGAGGUGAGUGGAAUUCCCGGUGUAGCGGUGAAAUGCGUUGAUAUCGGGAGGAACACCUGUGGCGAAAGCGGCUCACUGGACCAUAACUGACGCUGAUGCACGAAAGCUGGGGGAGCAAACAGG